RNAcentral lists this long non-coding RNA (922 nucleotides) under Polistes fuscatus (common paper wasp). RNAcentral's name for it is "uncharacterized LOC122521438". Lineage: Eukaryota; Metazoa; Arthropoda; Insecta; Hymenoptera; Vespidae. The record is from RNAcentral.
CUUCGGUGGCCUCUCGGUGAAGGUUGGAGGAGAAAGAGGAGGAAGGCAUCGUGUACCGUUCUGUCCUCCGGAACCUCGGUUCAUCGGGAAUACAAACAGAAAUGGAAGCAAAGCGAUAACUUUGCACUGCGAGAAUAGAUGAAGCGAGUGCGAAGAUGGAGACGCUUCGUCGAAGGAUGUUACCAUAGUUGGAGGAGGGAGGAAUACCCCACCAGCACACACACACGGUAUGCCACGCGUGAUCGAGUUACUUGGACGAACUGGCCUGGCACAGGUGAGGUGAGGUUGGUAUACGGCCUGCGGGACAAAGAACCGCAAGAAAUACCGAUACUACCUUGCUUCGGGAUUUAAAGUCGCUGUUCGAACGAAAAGUAUCUCAGCACCGUUAUCCCUACUCGAUGAUGAAUAUUUUGACGCGUAUCAUGAAUCGUGGGAAAUAGUUCUUAGGACUCGCGUUGUUCGCUUAUAAAUAUCAAUUCUCAAUCCAAAUUCAACGCAUUCGUCCAAGUAUAAUCUAUUUUUUGUUCUAUCUAAAUGAAGUUUCAUAGUCGUCGUUUAGCGAUAUACACUUGUAUUCGAUUUCUUUUGUCGAAGACUAAAAUUCAUUGAUCAUUCUUCGAAUGCUAUAUAACGUUCGAAUCGCGAUCGCAACCGCACCCUUAGAAGGUCGUAGACACGUAAAACCUUCAAAGAAGAUAUCGUUACACCGAAACGUCGAUACUUGGUAACAUUGCCUCAUCCUCCUGUGCUGUGGUUUAUGUUAAAGUUCUUCAGUGAUCUCGCGCGUCGUAUCUACGUAUCAUGAGCAAAAGGCUACAAAAGUAGCGAAAUCUUUGCCGAAGGAACGCAUUUAUAUUGUCGUUAAUGAAAUCAAAUAAUAAAACGCAAGUCAACGCUGUUACCAUUGCUCAGGAUUUACGGA